GACGGUGAGGGGCGAAAGCGUGGGUAGCAAACAGGAUUAGAUACCCUGGUAGUCCACGCCGUAAACGAUGAUAACUAGCCGUUGGGGGGAUUUACCCUUUAGUGGCGAAGCUAACGCGUUAAGUUAUCCGCCUGGGGAGUACGGCCGCAAGGUUAAAACUCAAAGGAAUUGACGGGGACCCGCACAAGCGGUGGAGCAUGUGGUUUAAUUCGAUGCAACGCGAAGAACCUUACCUGGUCUUGACAUCCUGCGAACUUUCUAGAAAUAGAUUGGUGCCUUCGGGAACGCAGUGACAGGUGCUGCAUGGCUGUCGUCAGCUCGUGUCGUGAGAUGUUGGGUUAAGUCCCGUAACGAGCGCAACCCCUAUCCUUAUUUGCCAGCACAUCAUGGUGGGAACUAUAAGGAGACUGCCGGUGAUAAACCGGAGGAAGGCGGGGACGACGUCAAGUCAUCAUGGCCCUUACGACCAGGGCUACACACGUGCUACAAUGGGAAGGACAAAGAGCCGCGAAGCCGCGAGGUGUAGCUAAUCUCAUAAACCUUUUCGUAGUCCGGAUUGGAGUCUGCAACUCGACUCCAUGAAGUCGGAAUCGCUAGUAAUCGUAGAUCAGAAUGCUACGGUGAAUACGUUCCCGGGUCUUGCACACACCGCCCGU
This 656-nucleotide ribosomal RNA is filed under the name uncultured bacterium. RNAcentral describes it as "bacterial SSU rRNA". It matches the Rfam family "Bacterial small subunit ribosomal RNA", at positions 742 to 1397 of the family's 1533-position model. The record is from RNAcentral.